UACGUCUGGAUUUCAAGACCUUUGAAAAGACCCUGUCUUAAGCACCUACGUUUGUAUUCACAGGCCACAUGUUGGGCACCUAGUGAUGCCUCGCUUCUGCAUUCAAGGAACCAGAGUUGGUGCUUUGCUGAUGAAGAUGCUUUACUCUGCCGACUCUCCCCUUCUCCAAACCAUGGCAGGAAGAUGUGCAUUUUCGUCUUGAAGAUAUUCUAAGCCAAGAAGCCCAGGAAAUCCCCACUGCAAAUGCACCACGAGUCAGCGGCGAAAGAGGCUCGCAGGAGCUGCGUGGGGAAGCUUGUGCCCCAUCUGGUUCGAGUCUUUUGAACUCCGGGGAGGAUUGCCAUACGUCUGCUGCUCGUGAGAACUUCGGCUCUUGCUGCCUCCCAUUACCAAAGAAAGGAGGAGGCCGGACUUCUGGGCGACCUCUGUCAUUCCAUACAACGCUCUAUAGAACUUCCUCCCGAGAGACUUUUCCAUCUUUCAUGGAGCAGCAGGAAGUUGGAGAGUUUGGGGCUCCUGCUGAGCGCAGAGCCUUCUGGAAGCAGCUGAACAGUGUGCCUCACAGCUUUGCUCUGUGUUUUGUCCCUGUGUCCAUGGCUCUAAGUUUCACCUAUUCCAGUGCGUGUCUAAACCACAGAUUCUUGGAUCUGAAAUUGGAAAGCUCACACCCCGGACCUCUGUGGCCAGGGGAUGUGUAG
Molecule: long non-coding RNA, 698 nt
Filed under: Felis catus (domestic cat)
Lineage: Eukaryota; Metazoa; Chordata; Mammalia; Carnivora; Felidae
Description: lncRNA (ENSFCAG00000043364.2)
Source: RNAcentral